Molecule: non-coding RNA, 172 nt
Filed under: uncultured Eubacterium sp.
Lineage: Bacteria; Bacillati; Bacillota; Clostridia; Eubacteriales; Eubacteriaceae
Source: RNAcentral
CUGCGGUGUCUGCAUAGGGUAAAAGGGAAACAGGUGUGAAUCCUGUACGAUCUCGUCACUGUAUUGGAGGAGUAUAUGGCGGUGCGCUUUUCGCGCAGUCACUGAUAGAUGAAAAUAUUGGGAAGACAGUCAUAUGCGUUGAUAACUGAGCCAGGAAACCUGCUGGAUGUUU